This 173-nucleotide small nuclear RNA is filed under the name Zalophus californianus (California sea lion). Its description in RNAcentral is "U2 spliceosomal RNA (ENSZCAG00015020521.1)". It matches the Rfam family "U2 spliceosomal RNA". Rfam says of the family: U2 is a small nuclear RNA (snRNA) component of the spliceosome (involved in pre-mRNA splicing). The record is from RNAcentral. Lineage: Eukaryota; Metazoa; Chordata; Mammalia; Carnivora; Otariidae.
AUCACUUCUCAUCAAGUGUAUUUUCUGUUCUUAAAUAUCUGAUAUGAGUCCUCUGUCUGAGGACAACAUGUUAAAUGGAUUUUUGGAACUAGAAGAUGGAGUAUGAGCUUGCUCCAUCCAUCCUAUGCAACAAAACCUGGAAUUGCAGUACCACCAAGAACAGUGCACCCCUU